Molecule: ribosomal RNA, 468 nt
Filed under: uncultured bacterium
Lineage: Bacteria
Description: partial 16S ribosomal RNA
Rfam family: Bacterial small subunit ribosomal RNA
Source: RNAcentral
GACGAACGCUGGCGGCGUGCUUAACACAUGCAAGUCGAACGGAAAGGCCCUGCUUUUGUGGGGUGCUCGAGUGGCGAACGGGUGAGUAACACGUGAGUAACCUGCCCUUGACUUUGGGAUAACAUCAGGAAACUGGGGCGAUUACCGGAUAGAAGCUCCUGCUGCAUGUUGGGGGUUGGAAAGUGUCGGCGGUAGGGGAUGGACUCGCGGCUUAUCAGCUUGUUGGUGUGGUAGUGGCUUACAAAGGCUUUGACGGGUAGCCGACCUGAGAGGGUGAACGGGGACAUGGCGCCUGAGGUACGCCGCAGAAUCGUACCGGAGGCAGCAGUGGGGAAUAUUGCACAACGGGCGCACGUCUGAUGUAGCAACGUCGCGUGCGGAAUGCCCGGUUUUUGGUGGUAAACCGCUUUCGCCUGUGCUAAGGCCGUAGUGACGGUAAUGGGUCAAGAAGCACCGGCUAACUACGUG